GAAAUGCGAUAAGUAAUGUGAAUUGCAGAAUUCAGUGAAUCAUCGAAUCUUUGAACGCACCUUGCGCUCCUUGGUAUUCCUUGGAGCAUGCCUGUUUGAGUAUCAUGAAAUCUUCAAAGUAAAUCUUUUGUUAACUCAAUUGGUUUCUACUUUGGUAUUGGAGGUCUUUGCAGCUUCACACCUGCUCCUCUUUGUUCAUUAGCUGGAUCUCAGUGUUAUGCUUGGUUCCACUCGGCGUGAUAAGUUAUCUAUCGCUGAGGACACUGUAAAAGGUGGCCAAGGUAAAUGCAGAUGAACCCUUCUAAUAGUCCAUUGACUUGGACAAUACUUUUAUGAUCUGAUCUCAAAUCAGGUAGGACUACCCGCUGAACUUAAGC
RNAcentral lists this unclassified non-coding RNA (377 nucleotides) under plant metagenome. Its description in RNAcentral is "partial contains 5.8S ribosomal RNA, internal transcribed spacer 2, and large subunit ribosomal RNA". The stretch from base 1 to 105 matches the Rfam family "5.8S ribosomal RNA", at positions 50 to 154 of the family's 154-position model. The record is from RNAcentral.